Molecule: non-coding RNA, 46 nt
Organism: Chitinophaga eiseniae
Lineage: Bacteria; Pseudomonadati; Bacteroidota; Chitinophagia; Chitinophagales; Chitinophagaceae
Source: Rfam
ACAGCGGCUUCUUUCGAAGCCACCAUGAAAGCGCUGCAAGCGUCUU